AGCAAGCAAUCCCAUUCAUAAUAUAAAAUAAAAUAAAAUAAAAAACGCCAGUCGUGAUCGGAAAAGGAGUCGAAUACUGGGUAUUGGUGGUGUCGUACGCCGUCUCCGAUUCAAUUCUCUCUUUUCUAAAUCGCAGCAUCCCCUAUCCAGUCUCGGACUCUCCUCCUACUUUCUUUCCCAUCUUCCACGACUGUUCCCCAAUCGCAAUCCCUGAUUCAGAGCGAUGGCAUCUUCUGCGGACUCAUGGAUGAAGGAAUAUAAUGAAGCAGUAAAACUUGGUGAUGAUAUUAGUGGUAUGAUAUCUGAGCGGAGUCAAUUUCCUGCGUCGGGUCCAGAAACUCAGCGUCAUGUCUCUGCUAUUCGGAGGAAAGUUACAAUAUUGGGGACUAGACUUGAUAGCUUACAGUCUGAAUUGUCAACACUUCCCGGAAAGCAGCACAUAUCAGCCAAAGAGAUGAAUCGUCGGAAGGACAUGGUUGGAAAUUUGAGAUCAAAAGUUAACCAGAUGUCUUCAACAUUGACAUCACACGCUGGCAACAGAGACAGCUUGCUUGGACCUGAAAUAAGUAAAGCUGAUGCCAUGGGCCGAACAACUGGCCUGGACAACUAUGGCCUUGUUGGUUUUCAGCGGCAAGUUAUGAAAGAACAAGAUGAGGGGCUUGACAGAUUGGAGGAGACUGUAGUAAGCACUAAACAUAUUGCAUUGGCAGUCAACGAAGAACUCACUCUGCACACAAGGCUCAUCGAUGAUUUGGAUGAACAUGUGGAUGUUACUGACUCCCGGCUACGGCGAGUGCAGAAGAAUUUGGCAGCUUUGAAUAAACGCACAAAGGGUGGUUGCUCCUGCAUGUGCAUGCUUUUAGCUGUGCUUGGUAUUGUGGGUCUGGUUGCUGUGAUAUUCUUGUUGAUCAAAUACUUGUAAUUAUAUUAACUCUUGAGUCCAUAGGGCACAAUGAACUCCUGUUUGCUGCUGUUUGUGUGUGAUGCUAUGGAAUGAUCUUUAAAUAAUUGUAAAUUUUCAUUGCGAGCUUUGAAGUACUUAACUUCUGUCA
Molecule: RNA transcript, 1052 nt
Organism: Argentina anserina (silverweed cinquefoil)
Lineage: Eukaryota; Viridiplantae; Streptophyta; Magnoliopsida; Rosales; Rosaceae
Gene name: syntaxin-52-like
Exons: 7
Source: RefSeq, a predicted model, not a curated record